RNAcentral lists this long non-coding RNA (415 nucleotides) under Parus major (Great Tit). RNAcentral's name for it is "lncRNA (ENSPMJG00000002737.1)". The record is from RNAcentral. Lineage: Eukaryota; Metazoa; Chordata; Aves; Passeriformes; Paridae.
UGUUAAACCUGCCUGAGGGAAAUACCUACGAUUCCCCUAGAAAGUUUCCUGCACGGCCUUCCUUGGAAGUUUGCUCUCCUGCCUGAAGUGAGCUUCAGCCUCUUUGGGCACAGAGAGCUCUCAUUUAUGUGCCUCAAAUGUUCCUGGGUAGGGUAUCAUUUAAAAAUUUCCAGUGGAUGCAUCUUAACUCAGCUCUGCAGCCUUCACUGUGCUGUUCCAUAAGGCUUCUCACCAUCUGAAGUGCAAAAUUCACCACCAGGAACUGGCCUUGGAGAUCUAGUUUAACUCUUGUCAAAGAGCCUGAGCAGUGUCUUCUUGGAGGAAAAAAUUCUACAGCAGAUUCUUCUUUUCCCAGUUGAUAGAAGUCAGUGACCACUAAGAGUGAUUCAAGCUUGAAAACUUAAAUAAAACUGUG